Molecule: long non-coding RNA, 2863 nt
Filed under: Homo sapiens (human)
Lineage: Eukaryota; Metazoa; Chordata; Mammalia; Primates; Hominidae
Description: HSALNT0117281
Source: RNAcentral
GAGCGUGGGCAGCUCAUUUGCUCUGAAGAGAAGCAGACGCAGCUUCCUCUCCGUGUGGAGCUCUGCGCCAGGAGUGACCUGUUCUUUGGAGGUACAAACCACCUUAAAGAUGAGUAGCUCAGAGACCACAGGAAAAGGUGGAAAACACAGGCUUUUCUGGCUGACUGUAAUCACCUCUUUGUCAAACGACUUCAUCCAGGGUUGACCGUGAACUCUGCCGACCAGCCAGCCAAGGGCAGUGUGGUGCCUGGGCUCAGUGAGGUCAGGCCUGACCCCGUGUCCACGGCGACUGCUUUGCCCUGUGCGAGAACCAACAGGCCUGUCUUUAAAGAUAUUAAUGUAUUUACUCAUUUUUGCUAAAACAAUGCAUUUUAUUAUACUUUGCUAGUGUAUAAAAUGCAGAAGCAAAACAGAAGCCACGCAGAAACCCACUGCUCCAAUAACUUCGUCGCCAUUUUAUUUUGUGUUCUAUGUUUGUGUGAUCUCCCUGGUCUGGAAUGGAAAUCUGUCGUAUAAACUUGUCUCCUGUUUUCACUUUGCGACAUAGUCUUCUUGCCUUCCCGGGUUAUUGAAAAUGCUUCUGCACCGUAUUUUAAAUGGCCCUGUGUGUGUACGGCCAUUGUGCGGGCAUCAUUCAGUGACUUCACCAACUCCCGACUGUGGGGCUUCUGGGUUACUUCCCGUUUCCCCACAACGUGGGAAACAGAGACGGGGAACAUCAUAGUGCUGGCAGACACACCGACUGCCUUUCUUUUCAAGGACGUUGUGCGGCGAACGGCUUGGAAGGUGGCAGCUUCCUCAGGAGCAAAGGACGGCUGUGCCGGGGCGGCAGGAGGAAUGCGGCUCCUUGAGGGCUGGCGCCCUUUGCAGGUGGGUCAGUCGCUCCAGGUGGGACAGACAUCGGCUGCACAAGGACCACGGCAAAUCUGCCCCCAGGACGCUUCCAAAGAGGGCAGUGGGGUCACUCAGUGCCCGUGAACGCUCAGGGUCACUCAACGUCUGUGAACGCUCAGGCACCAUGCUGAGUAGCCACCAGGUCAGCAGCCCCGGGUGCGGCCCCCAGACAGGAAGGGUGGGCUCCUGCUUUAGCCUGGCAUUGUCUUUGCUUCUGUUCUUCCUUCUGGUGACUUCCACCUUGGAACCUGGGAGCUGGAACGGUGCACACCCCAGUGUUGUCAGAAACAUCCUCCAAAGCCUCCAUACACUGCUCCCCUUGGAAGGACAGGAAGAGGCUCUAUCUCCGACUCCCUGAGGGAUCUCACCCCUGCUGGGCAGGUUAAAGCUCUAAGCAGAGAAACAAGAAUUCCAACGUGACGGGAGAAAGAAGAGUGUCCGUAUGGUCCUGCGGGCAGAGAGCAUCUUCUUGCAUAUAACAGAAAAACUGGCACAAAAGAAAAGAACCAUGAGUACGACAGCAUCAAUAUGAUGGGCGUGUAGAGAAGCCUCGAGACACGAGUAGCAGAGUGAGACCGACUGUUCGUAGGAAGGGGCUGGCACAGUGGGUGAAUCCAAUAGCACUUCACAGGUGCGAGAAGACAAUUCCUCCGCUGUGGGGAGAACACACAGCUGUGAAGAAAAUGGCCAAAGAAAUAUGAGCAAAACUUACAAAAGCAGAAAUGCAAAUUACCAAGAAGCAUUUAAAAGCUGCACAAUCUCACAACAGAUCAGGGAACUGCAAUGGAAAACAGUCUGAUUUUUUUCCCAUUAGAUUAGAAGAAAUGAAAACGUUUAAUGUCAAACAUUAGAGGAAAUUGGUGCAUAAAUGGUUUUUUAAAAAGUCAGAAUUCGUCAUCUCAAAAUAAAUUCAUCAAAUUGAUUACAUUAAAAUUGCACUGACUCUGUGAUGCAUCAGUUUCUUUUCUCAGCAUUUACCCUAGGGAAGAAUGGACGAUGAGCAGGGGAUGAUGAGCAGGGAAGCAGCUGAAACAUUGGCAAGGCAGAGACCACGGCAGAGGCCACGUCAGAGACCACAGUGGAGGCCAUGUCAGAGACCAUGGCAGACGUCAUGACAGAGGUCAUGCCAGAGAUCCCCUGGGAGCAGAGGGAGUGCCCACCCGCAGGACGUGGGGGAGCAAGGCUGCAGCUGUGGGGAGCACUUGGGCACAUCACAGCGUGGGCAUGGCAGACGAAGACAUGCAGGCCACACGCAGGAAGGCACAAACGCACCGGUCACAGUGUCAGGGGAGCACUGGGUGGUGUCACAAGGGAUGUGAGCUUUUGUCUGUUGUGUGUCUGUAUGUGUGUUUUAACAGUAAGAUUGGGUUCGGGCAAAAUCUAAGGGAAUAAAAAGCAGGGGAGUGGCUGUGUGUGAAUCUGGAGCACAGGUGGCCAUGCAGUGACAUUAAAAUUAGGUCAAAGGAAAGACUAGAGCCAGGGGCGAAGGCGGGAGCGUGGUAGGAAGUGGGGACGGCCUGGCCAAGGCCCCGCCAGACCACAAAGCUCAGGCCCAGACCGCAGAAGGCCGAUAAGAGCGUUCCGGAAAUCAGCUCUGUCUCGGAAAGAGCCAGGCCCAUGGGCUCCUGGCCGUGGGCAACCAAGGCUGAGUCAAAGCCACGUUCUCAAGAGAAUCCAGUGCAAUUAUGCAGAGACUCAUUUAAAAUGACAAGUACUUUUUAAAAGUCACUCUCUGAAAAUGACAUUCAAACCAAUUAUCAUUAAGGGAAGAUGUAAGUUAGCUUUGUUUAAAAAAAAAAGAAGGUGGAGAAGAAUAAAAAUCUGUUUUUAGAUACUUUGUAUGUUGCAGUUUAGAAAUACUCCUGCUGAAUAAAACCUACAGGAAAUGGAAGCAGAGGCGUGUGCAGCCAGCUCAGGAGGGAGGAGGUGAGCUUUGCUUUGCCUGAGUGCUGGUGAGAUUUUGCCACCG